UUCGACAUAAGGUUGUUGAGCACUAUAGCUGCAAAAUAUCCUCCUCCUGCAUCGGUGUCGCUGCUGCCUUCCCUUCGCAUCGUUAUCAGAACGAAUGGAACCGAUCAACAAACAGAUGGGCUACAUUUCGCACGGUAACUCGUCCACUCCACCUGAACUCACAUGUGCCUCAAGCUCGAAAACAUAUGCGCGGUGAAACCAAAUGGAGUGCAAAACAUUCAUUGCAGCUUGUGAAACUGCCAUUGCCGAGGGUCAUCGAAAUGGUCGGUGUUUCAUGAAACACAGCUGGAAGCGUGUGAGUGAGCUAUUCAACUCUUUCUCUAGCCACAACUAGAGCAAGCAACAACUGCGCAACUACAGGGACGCAAUGCGUCAAACCUACAAACAUCUCUACGAACUGUUGGCUUGCAGCGGGGUCAAAUAAAACCUAUCCACUUGUUGAAUUGUAGCAUCGGAGGAAUGGUGUACUCGAAAGAUCAUGGAGAACAAGGAGUACAAAUAUUUUAAGGAUAAAGAUGUAAGCGAGAUUUACACUUGCUAUCGUCAACUAAUCAGUAACAGUUACGACGAGAGCAAGUAUACCGUCACUUUCACGAAGUUGUGUAGAAUGGGGUUCGGGUUGUUUGAGGAUAGUGCACUCGAAGACCACCAAUGGGGAGAGCAACGGUUCAAGUGAUGAGGGAGACAAUACAAACGAUAGAUUAAGCGUGAAUGUCUCCGACACCAUAAACGACAAAAAAAUGAAAUCGUCCAUGAGCAAGCAACAAGGAAGGAAGAAGAAAACUUUUGCGCGAGCUGUAGUUCUCAAUUAAUCGGGCCACAAGGGCCGUUGAAGAAGUGGUGGCAAAGAUCAAUACCAUGAUGGCUUCGACUAACAACGUUGGUGUUGCCUACAUUAAAGUGUUAUUACCAAUUGUAUGGCUCGAGCGUCGAAAACCUUUGUACUUUUACGCCUGUACACUUCUGGCACAAAAAUAUUAUCGGGAUAUGCUUGGUGUCAUGAGAAAUGCUGAAGAAAAAUUUGAAUGGAUUGAGUGGUAGUUCAAUGACCAGGACAAACAAUUCCACCUAUGAUAUUUCGAAUUUGUUGUAUUUGUGUUUGUUUUCAAGAACUAUUUUCCUUUUCUUUGCACCAUUCCAUUACCAUUGAACGUUAUGUGCUUAAAUAUUUGUAAUGUGCUUAUAUUGUAAAUGUUUUUCUGUAAUGUACUUGUUUCCUUCAGACACA
Molecule: long non-coding RNA, 1228 nt
Organism: Olea europaea var. sylvestris
Lineage: Eukaryota; Viridiplantae; Streptophyta; Magnoliopsida; Lamiales; Oleaceae
Exons: 3
Source: RefSeq, a predicted model, not a curated record